UACGAAGGGUGCAAACGUUGCUCGGAAUUAUUGGGCGUAAAGCGCACGUAGGCGGCUUGGCAAGUCGGAUGUGAAAUCCCUCGGCUCAACCAAGGAAGUGCAUCCGAAACUGCUGAGCUUGAGUACGAAAGAGGAUCGCGGAAUUCCCGGUGUAGAGGUGAAAUUCGUAGAUAUCGGGAGGAACACCAGUGGCGAAGGCGGUCUUCUGGACAGUGACUGACGCUGAGACGCGAAAGCGUGGGGAGCAAACAGG
This 253-nucleotide ribosomal RNA is filed under the name uncultured bacterium. Its description in RNAcentral is "partial 16S ribosomal RNA". It matches the Rfam family "Bacterial small subunit ribosomal RNA", at positions 524 to 776 of the family's 1533-position model. The record is from RNAcentral.